RNAcentral lists this ribosomal RNA (251 nucleotides) under uncultured bacterium. RNAcentral describes it as "partial 16S ribosomal RNA". It matches the Rfam family "Bacterial small subunit ribosomal RNA", at positions 60 to 339 of the family's 1533-position model. The record is from RNAcentral.
AGUCGAGCGAGGUAGCAAUACCUAGCGGCAGACGGGUGCGUAACAUGUGGGAAUCUGCCUUUUGGUUCGGAACAACACGGGGAAACCUGUGCUAAUACCGGAUAAGUCCUUACGGGGAAAGUUUUAAUGCCAUAAGAUGAGCCCGCAUUUGAUUAGUUAGUUGGUGAGGUAAUGGCUCACCAAGACAAUGAUCAAUAGCUGUUCUUAGAGGAAGACCAGCCACAUUGGGACUGAGACACGGCCCAAACUCC